AUUGAACGCUAGCGGCAGGCCUAACACAUGCAAGUCGAGCGAGCGGCGGACGGGUGAGAAAUGUAUGGGGACUGCCCGAUAGAGGGGGAUAACUACUGGAAACGGAAGCUAAUACAGCAUACUAUCGGAUAACCCAUAUGGGAUUAGCUAGUAGGUGAGGUAAUGGCUCACCUAGGCGACGAUCCCUAGCUGGUUUGAGAGGAUGAGCAGCCACACUGGGACUGAGACACGGCCCAGACUCCUACGGAGGCAGCAGUGGGGAAUAUUGGACAAUGGGCGCAAGCCUGAUGCAGCCAUGCCGCGUGUAUGAAGAAGGCCUUAGGGUUGUAAAGUACUUUCAGUCGGGAGGCGUUACCUACAGAAGAAGCACCGGCUAACUACGUGCCAGCAGCCGCGGUAAUAC
This 403-nucleotide ribosomal RNA is filed under the name uncultured bacterium. RNAcentral describes it as "partial 16S ribosomal RNA". It matches the Rfam family "Bacterial small subunit ribosomal RNA", at positions 30 to 526 of the family's 1533-position model. The record is from RNAcentral.